Molecule: ribosomal RNA, 471 nt
Filed under: uncultured bacterium
Lineage: Bacteria
Description: bacterial SSU rRNA
Rfam family: Bacterial small subunit ribosomal RNA
Source: RNAcentral
ACUCCUACGGGAGGCAGCAGUGGGGAAUAUUGGACAAUGGGGGAAACCCUGAUCCAGCCAUGCCGCGUGUGUGAAGAAGGCCUUCGGGUUGUAAAGCACUUCAGUGGGGAGGAAGGUUGAUGGUUAAUACCUAUCAGCUGUGACGUUACCCACAGAAGAAGCACCGGCUAACUCCGUGCCAGCAGCCGCGGUAAUACGGAGGGUGCAAGCGUUAAUCGGAAUUACUGGGCGUAAAGCGUGCGCAGGCGGUCUGUUAAGCGAGAUGUGAAAGCCCCGGGCUCAACCUGGGAACUGCAUUUCGAACUGGCAGACUAGAGUCUUGUAGAGGGGGUAGAAUUCCAGGUGUAGCGGUGAAAUGCGUAGAGAUCUGGAGGAAUACCGGUGGCGAAGGCGGCCCCCGUGGACAAAGACUGACGCUCAGGCACGAAAGCGUGGGAGCAAACAGGAUUAGAUACCCGUGGUAGCGACUGA